AGGAGGAGACUUUUAGAGAGAGAGUAGGGGAUGGGAAGUGUAGGAGAAAUUGAGGAAAUAGAGAAGUGGGUGUCACCAGCUGCAGCCAAAAGAUCAAUGCCUAUUCUGUCUUUAAACCACGUCUCAUUUGUUUGCAAAUCUGUUCCUGAAUCUGUAAGGUUCUAUGAGGAUGUUUUAGGAUUUGUACUCAUCAAAAGACCUUCUUCCUUCAAUUUUGAAGGAGCUUGGUUGUUCAACUAUGGAGUUGGCAUUCAUUUGCUUGAAUCAGAUAAAGUCCCAUCAAAGAAAGGUGCAAUCAAUCCAAAAGACAACCACACUUCCUUCCAAUGUUCAGACAUGGAUCUUGUUGUUAAAAAACUAGAGGAGAAGAACAUAAAGUAUGUGACCGCAGUUGUAGAAGAG
Molecule: unclassified non-coding RNA, 402 nt
Filed under: Hevea brasiliensis (rubber tree)
Lineage: Eukaryota; Viridiplantae; Streptophyta; Magnoliopsida; Malpighiales; Euphorbiaceae
Source: RNAcentral